This 292-nucleotide unclassified non-coding RNA is filed under the name uncultured fungus. RNAcentral's name for it is "partial contains small subunit ribosomal RNA, internal transcribed spacer 1, and 5.8S ribosomal RNA". The stretch from base 1 to 73 matches the Rfam family "Eukaryotic small subunit ribosomal RNA", at positions 1759 to 1831 of the family's 1831-position model. The record is from RNAcentral. Lineage: Eukaryota; Fungi.
GCAAACUUGGUCAUUUAGAGGAAGUAAAAGUCGUAACAAGGUUUCCGUAGGUGAACCUGCGGAAGGAUCAUUAAUGUGUUUGAACUUCGGUUCUUUAUCUCGACGCUGUGCGCCUUCGGGCUUGCACGCUGAGAGAGCAUAUAUCCACCUCUGUGCACUUAUACGGCGGUGCGCGUCACUGCGCGCCGUUCGUCAUUAUACACAUUUAUAAGUCAGUUUUGUAUGAUAAAUGAUAAAAAAUACAACUUUCAGCAACGGAUCUCUUGGCUCUCGCAUCGAUGAAGAACGCAGC